This 406-nucleotide ribosomal RNA is filed under the name uncultured bacterium. Its description in RNAcentral is "partial 16S ribosomal RNA". It matches the Rfam family "Bacterial small subunit ribosomal RNA", at positions 30 to 526 of the family's 1533-position model. The record is from RNAcentral.
AUUGAACGCUGGCGGCAGGCCUAACACAUGCAAGUCGAACGAGUGGCGGACGGGUGAGUACUGUCUGGGAAACUGCCUGAUGGAGGGGGAUAACUACUGGAACCGGUAGCUCAUACCGCAUACCAUCGGAUGUGCCCAGAUGGGAUUAGCUAGUAGGUGGGGUAACGGCUCACCUAGGCGACGAUCCCUAGCUGGUCUGAGAGGAUGACUAGCCACACUGGAACUGAGACACGGUCGAGACUCCUACGUGGGGCAGCAGUGGGGAAUAUUGCACAAUGAGCGAAAGCCGGAUGCAGCCAUGCCGCGUGUAUGAAGAAGGCCUUCGGGUUGUAAAGUACUCUCAGCGAGGAGGCGUUACUCGCAGAAGAAGCACCGGCUAACGCCGUGCCAGCAGCCGCGGUAAUAC